RNAcentral lists this ribosomal RNA (271 nucleotides) under uncultured bacterium. Its description in RNAcentral is "partial 16S ribosomal RNA". It matches the Rfam family "Bacterial small subunit ribosomal RNA", at positions 524 to 792 of the family's 1533-position model. The record is from RNAcentral.
UACGUAGGGUGCGAGCGUUAAUCGGAAUUACUGGGCGUAAAGCGUGCGCAGGCGGUUUUGUAAGUCUGUCGUGAAAUCCCCGGGCUCAACCUGGGAAUUGCGAUGGAGACUGCAAGGCUAGAAUCUGGCAGAGGGGGGUAGAAUUCCACGUGUAGCAGUGAAAUGCGUAGAGAUGUGGAGGAACACCGAUGGCGAAGGCAGCCCCCUGGGCCAAGAUUGACGCUCAUGCACGAAAGCGUGGGGAGCAAACGAGGAUUAGAGUACCCGGGUA